This 2700-nucleotide long non-coding RNA is filed under the name Trifolium pratense (red clover). RNAcentral describes it as "long non-coding RNA (TPRA_LNC011115)". The stretch from base 243 to 328 matches the Rfam family "mir-160 microRNA precursor family". The record is from RNAcentral. Lineage: Eukaryota; Viridiplantae; Streptophyta; Magnoliopsida; Fabales; Fabaceae.
GAAACUAUAUGAGGGGCUUUUUGUCUUUUUUGAUGGAAAACCUAUAGAAAGGGGAGUGAAGGGAAUUCAAGUUCUUCAUUCCUACCUUCUUAAUGUAUCUGAUCAAUUACUCUAAUUCAUUUCAGAUCACAUCUUGUUGAAGCAAAGAGCAUCACCAAUGGUAAGAUUAGUUAGCUUAUAAUUAAUUAAAUUUAGAAUUUUGUGUGGUGACAUAUGUAUAGAUUUAGAUAUAUAUAAUAAUCGCGUGCCUGGCUCCCUGUAUGCCAUUUGUAGAGUUCAUCAAACUGGUGAUGACUUUAAUGAAUGGCGUACGAGGAGCCAUGCAUGCUGUAUAUAUUUUUUUAUAUCUUGUACAAGAUUUGGUUCUUAAUUUGCAUGUUGCUCAUAAUUAUGUUUCAUGUUCUUUCAUGGUCUUUGGAUUGAAUCUUCUUUGUUUAGGUGUCUAGAUAAUUAGUAAUAAUGCAAUAAUAUUGUUCAAGGGAGUUAGGUUUUACCAUGAGUUCCUAGUCCAAGAUGCCUUUGACUUGGUUAGAUUAGAUAACUACUAUAUAGAUAACAAAUAAUUUCAUGAAUUCGUGUAGUUAAGAAAUUUUUUAGUUGUAUUAAUUUAGUAAUUAAUAAUUGUUGCAAAAAUGUGAUUAUAUUUAUUUUAUUUUUAGAUUUUGAAUUGAUAUAUGUAACAAUAUUUUUUUUUACUUUUAUAGAAUGAUGUCAUUUUUUGGUUUUUGGUUUUAACAAGGAUAUGACAAUUUGUUGGGGUGUUUAUAUUUUAUUAGUAUAUUAUUUUUUAACAUUGUUUAUUUUUUUUUUAUCAGUUUAUAAGUUUCAUAUUUGACUUAUGCAAUCGUCCAUGUAUAAAGAACAUUAUUACACUCAAGUGGACGUAGUCACCAAUCGUUUUCAUAGUUCUGUUGUCAUAUUUCUUUUGUAAUUGAGUAGUUAACAUCUUAGGCAUAUAAAUUUGUAUAUUUUGAAAAAUUUAUGUGGCUGAUAUGGUUAGGAAUUGUAGAGGGGAUGAGAUUGAAGGAGAAACUGUUUUCAUUGGAAGGAAGAGUUACUCUUGCAAUGUAUUUUUUUGUUGGAUAACUUUUUGGUGCAGGAAAGGAAUAUAAGUCUAACAUGUGGGUUUGGAGAAAUGAACGUUAUGAAGAGAUAUAGUUAAAGGUGCUUAUCAAAUGUUUUACGAUUGAUAAGAGUGAAGGUUUUGGUCUAGCUACUAAGAUUAUUUUGAAUAAGAUGCUUCUUUUGAAGGUAACACUCUUUGCUUGGGGAUCGUAGUAUAAUAGUAGAAUUUAAAGUGAAAUUGUUUUUUUUUUUGGUGAAUCAAUUUAAAGUGAAAAUAUAUUUUGGUAGUACAUAAAUUUUUGGGGAUGAAUUAGUCUCUUAAUGAAAUGGAGACAAAUUCGACUUCAAUAUGAAAAUUUUAGGGACUAAUUUAAUUUAUUUUUUUGACAAAAAUACACUUAGUUGUUUUAAUUUAUGAUAGUAGAUUCAAUAAGAUUUACAAGAAUUAAAAACUUGAAGAUUAGUGAUAAAACGAGAUGCUUGAGCUUAGACUAAACUGACCAAUUAAAAAUUUGUGAAGGCUCAAAAUCGAUUUACUUCCAUCUUUUAUCUCCAACCUCUUCUCCGCGAGGUUAUUUCUCUUAUCCACCUCCAUCCAUAUUAAUCAUAUUCACCGUGAGGCAAACUCUUGUGCUGAUGCUCUUGCGUUUAAAAAGGCCACGGUGUUGGUUUUCACGCAUGUUAUGCUAUAUUCAAUUCCCGCUUAUAUUAGUAUUCUUCUUUAUAAAGACUUAAGGGGGGUCUGUUCCUCUGUAGUCGUGCCUUAGUUUUUCUCUUAUUUUCCUUUAUUUAUCAAAAAAUAAUAAUGAUCACAAAGUUGACCGAUUAGAAAUUUGUGAAGGAUCAUUUUUACUUUAGAAUAAUAAUCACAAAGGAUAGUGUGUUGGUAUCUCUUUAUCUCUCUUUACCCCAACAUAUUUUAAAAUAUUCUCAUUCUACCUUUAUAUUAAAAGUGUGUUGGUAUCUUAAAAGUGUGCUGGUAUGUUAAAAGUGUGCUGGUAUAUAUGUUAAUUAAAGUGUGCUGGUAUGUUAAAAAUGUGUUGGUAUGUUAAAAUUGCAUCAAAAGUGUGCUGGUAUGUUAAAACUGCAGUAUGUUAAAAGUGUCAACCCAACAAUACAAUCAGUUUUGAUAAUUAUUUCAUAGAGGCUGAAAUUUGUUUAAUCGAUAUGGACUUAAGAUUCAAAAUACAUAGCAUGAAUCUUUACUGCUUAAUGUCAUUCCAUCGGACUAGAUUGCAAAUAAACAAGAAUUAUACACAAUAAAACACUGUCUGUCUAUAUAGAGGUGCUUUUACUCAGCGGAUCCAGUCAGUUAUUAGUCCCAACAGAUUUUGACAAAUGGCCAUUAUAUGUAAGCAACUCAGCUAAUAGCAUCCCUAAUUUAAUUACAACAAUUUCUGAAUAGAGUAAAUUGCACAGAACCAUUGUGUAACAGAGUUGCAUGAUGGUAUACUCUUAACAAGUUUGGUGCAUGUAAUUCAGAUAAAGAAAAGGAACUCCUACUUAUAAAAAGAGUAAACUCUCAAUUUGGUCCUCUCAAAAGACUGUGAUGCAGCAAAUUAUCCCUCUAAAGUUUUUACUUCAAAGAGUAAAGUGCCACCAUACUAGACCUUCAUUGAAUAAUGUCCUCUCAAA